This 362-nucleotide transfer-messenger RNA is filed under the name Phenylobacterium deserti. RNAcentral describes it as "Alphaproteobacteria transfer-messenger RNA". It matches the Rfam family "Alphaproteobacteria transfer-messenger RNA". Rfam says of the family: Bacterial tmRNA, also known as 10Sa RNA or SsrA, is named for its dual tRNA and mRNA-like properties. Its role is to liberate the mRNA from a stalled ribosome. The record is from Rfam by way of RNAcentral. Lineage: Bacteria; Pseudomonadati; Pseudomonadota; Alphaproteobacteria; Caulobacterales; Caulobacteraceae.
CCCCUUCAAAUCCCUGAGCGGCGGGCCUAUAUGGAAAGCGUCGGGUUUCGGCCCGACUAUGGGGAUAAACGCGCGCAUAAUAAGCGGACUGGACCCGGGUGCGAUUCCCGGCGGCUCCACCAAAUCUUCCUCCCGGUUAUCGCGGGGCAAGCAUGGGGCCGAUCAGCAUCGACAGACGUCUAAAGGCGUUGCUUUCUCUCGGCCUGACCCACCGUUCCGGGUCUUUAACUAAAUGCGAACGAUAACUUCGCUGAGGAAGUCCGCCUGGCCGCGUAAGCGGUCCGGUGAACAUCCGACCUAAGUCCUAGGGGUUCAGAUCCUUAGGCGGGGCCCGGGGGAGCCUGCCAACAGAAUCCCCCACC